Molecule: non-coding RNA, 114 nt
Organism: Leminorella grimontii
Lineage: Bacteria; Pseudomonadati; Pseudomonadota; Gammaproteobacteria; Enterobacterales; Budviciaceae
Source: Rfam
UUCACCUCAACGGGGUGCUUGCUUAAAAGCUGAGAAUGCGUUCGGUCGCCUGAACCUUACCCGUAGAACCUGAUCCGGUUAAUGCCGGCGGAGGGAUUUGAGAACGCGUAUAGC